This 23-nucleotide ribosomal RNA is filed under the name Tetrahymena pigmentosa. Its description in RNAcentral is "partial 5.8S ribosomal RNA". Lineage: Eukaryota; Ciliophora; Oligohymenophorea; Hymenostomatida; Tetrahymenidae. RNAcentral also lists the same sequence under 15 other names. The record is from RNAcentral.
GAUGAAGAACGCAGCGAAAUGCG